GGUAAAGUGGCUGAGUAUAGGCAAUAAAUUGUAAAUUUAUGAACGAAAUGUAUUUUCCUUUAUCA
RNAcentral lists this transfer RNA (65 nucleotides) under Jebusaea hammerschmidtii. RNAcentral's name for it is "tRNA-Tyr". Lineage: Eukaryota; Metazoa; Arthropoda; Insecta; Coleoptera; Cerambycidae. The record is from RNAcentral.